Heterocephalus glaber (naked mole-rat) is the source of this 1169-nucleotide long non-coding RNA. Lineage: Eukaryota; Metazoa; Chordata; Mammalia; Rodentia; Bathyergidae. The record is from Ensembl.
ACUUGAGAGAGCAUCAGAAUUAUCUGCAAGGCUUGUUAGAACACAGACUGUGUGAGAACCAGCCCCAGAGUUUCUGAUCAACGAGAGGACUGGGUACCAGCAACUUCUCAGAGGCGGCGCGGCAGCUGCCCUCGAGGCCCGGACUGAAAUGUGCGGAGCGGAGAGGGACCUCUGCUGUCCGUCGCUGUUGAGGGAGGGCUUCGGAGGGAGCUCCGAGGCUUUGGUGCAGAGACGAGAGACGCGGGACUGCGACAGUUGCCAGCAUCGGCUGGAGAUUCUUAUUACCACAGUUCCAAAGAGAGAAUCAAAGAUGGACACAAAGUGAACUCACGCAUAGCCAAGCUGCAAGAGCAUCCAGAUCUCACCAUGGGCCAGAAGCGUUAUCUCCGCAGCAUUGCUAAGAUCUAUAACGCAAACUACCUGAGGACAUGAAUGACGGGGCAGUACAUGAACGUGAUUCAAAGCAGCUCACUAAAGCCAGGUAUCCUCAUUCAUCACAGGAGUCGCCUCAGCUCUCGAUACUCACAGAAACAGGGUAUUGUACCCCUGCACUGCACGGCGACACCAGCGGGAAAGAGAGGACUCUUCUAGCAGUGCAGCUGCAGCUGCACCUGAAAUGAUCAUCCAGCAUCCUCUUUGGCGGCCAGUGAGAAACAAAGGGUUAAAAACUGGAUAUGCAUCUAAAAUAAGACGUAAGUCAGUGAAGAGUAAACUGUUUGUGCAAUCAGUUUCUUGAAAUGAUUCUGGAUCUUACCUGAAUGAAGAAAAAAGGGGGAUGAUCUGUGAAAUAAAUGUAUGCAAUCAAUGUCCGUUGAAGAACAGGGAGGACACCUAAUGGUAACCGGAUGGUCUUGUCACUGAAUUCACACAGCAGCUGAUAUCCAGACAUCAUGCCAAAGGGGUCGUAAAUUGUGUCCUGUGUGUAGGAUAGUGUUAUUCACCAUUAAGUCAUCCAUUUGGCUUGCUCAGAAACUUUCACAAUUGUAAUUGGUCUGAUACAGUUCUAUGUGCCAGUGCCAUUUGUGUAAUAGAAUUUAUGUGUAAUAUAUGCUUGUAUUUCUGGCUAGGUAAAUUAUAAUUUUUCUUGUCAUUUAAAAUUGAAUUAUUUUUGUUUAAAUCUGACAAAUGCACUGCAUAAUUCUUCUGUUUGCAAUAAAUCCUAAUAUGGC